AUGGCGACCGGCGCACGGGUGAGUAACGCGUAUGCAACUUACCUAUCAGAGGGGGAUAGCCCGGCGAAAGUCGGAUUAAUACCCCAUAAAACAGGGGUCCCGCAUGGGAAUAUUUGUUAAAGAUUCAUCGCUGAUAGAUAGGCAUGCGUUCCAUUAGGCAGUUGGCGGGGUAACGGCCCACCAAACCGACGAUGGAUAGGGGUUCUGAGAGGAAGGUCCCCCACAUUGGUACUGAGACACGGACCAAACUCCUACGGGAGGCAGCAGUGAGGAAUAUUGGUCAAUGGCCGAGAGGCUGAACCAGCCAAGUCGCGUGAAGGAAGAAGGAUCUAUGGUUUGUAAACUUCUUUUAUAGGGGAAUAAAGUGGAGGACGUGUCCUUUUUUGUAUGUACCCUAUGAAUAAGCAUCGGCUAACUCCGUGCCAGCAGCCGCGGUAAUACGGAGGAUGCGAGCGUUAUCCGGAUUUAUUGGGUUUAAAGGGUGCGUAGGUGGUGAUUUAAGUCAGCGGUGAAAGUUUGUGGCUCAACCAUAAAAUUGCC
Molecule: ribosomal RNA, 540 nt
Filed under: uncultured Bacteroidales bacterium
Lineage: Bacteria; Pseudomonadati; Bacteroidota; Bacteroidia; Bacteroidales
Description: bacterial SSU rRNA
Rfam family: Bacterial small subunit ribosomal RNA
Source: RNAcentral